This 434-nucleotide ribosomal RNA is filed under the name uncultured bacterium. RNAcentral's name for it is "partial 16S ribosomal RNA". It matches the Rfam family "Bacterial small subunit ribosomal RNA", at positions 29 to 507 of the family's 1533-position model. The record is from RNAcentral.
AGCGAACGCUGGCGGCAGGCCUAACACAUGCAAGUCGAACGAACCUUUCGGGGUUAGUGGCGGACGGGUGAGUAACACGUGGGAACGUGCCUUUAGGUUCGGAAUAACUCAGGGAAACGUGUGCUAAUACCGAAUGUGCCCUUCGGGGGAAAGAUUAAUCGCCUUUAGAGCGGCCCGCUUCUGAUUAGCUAGUUGGUUGAGGUAAUGGCUCACCAAGGCGACGAUCAGUAGCUGGUCUGAGAGGAUGAUCACCCACAUUGGGACUGAGACACGGCCCAAACUCCUACGGGAGGCAGCAGUGGGGAAUCUUGCGCAAUGGGCGAAAGCCUGACGCAGCCAUGCCGCGUGAAUGAUGAAGGUCUUAGGAUUGUAAAAUUCUUUCACCGGGGACGAUAAUGACGGUACCCGGAGAAGAAGCCCCGGCUAACUUCGUG